GGAACAAAAUAAUAAAGAAAAAGAAUUAUUAUACAAGAUAUCAUUAUUAGAUAAAAAAAAACUCGUAGAGAAUAACUUGCCAUCAGUACACCAAGAAAGGGAAGGGUUGGAACUAGAAUUAAAAGUAAUAAGAGAAAAAAAUGUUAAAGGAAUAAUUACAAGAGCAAAGGCAAGAUGGCAAGUAGAGGGGGAAAAGGGAAGUAACUAUUUUUGUAAUUUGGAAAAAAAAACAUUAUACAGAAAAAAUUAUUCCCAAACUUAUUCUGG
This 267-nucleotide long non-coding RNA is filed under the name Mytilus galloprovincialis (Mediterranean mussel). The record is from RNAcentral. Lineage: Eukaryota; Metazoa; Mollusca; Bivalvia; Mytilida; Mytilidae.